RNAcentral lists this ribosomal RNA (253 nucleotides) under uncultured bacterium. RNAcentral describes it as "partial 16S ribosomal RNA". It matches the Rfam family "Bacterial small subunit ribosomal RNA", at positions 524 to 776 of the family's 1533-position model. The record is from RNAcentral.
UACGAAGGGAGCUAGCGUUGUUCGGAAUCACUGGGCGUAAAGCGCACGUAGGCGGAUGUGUCAGUCAGGGGUGAAAUCCCGGAGCUCAACUUCGGAACUGCCUCUGAUACAGCACGUCUUGAGUCCGAUAGAGGUGGGUGGAAUUCCUAGUGUAGAGGUGAAAUUCGUAGAUAUUGGGAAGAACACCGAUGGCGAAGGCAGCCAUCUGGACCGACACUGACGCUGAGGCGCGAAAGCGUGGGGAGCAAACAGG